UAAACUAAUUGGACACCAAGAUAAGUUUUUUGUUUCAGAUUCGUAUUUUUGUUCGUCUUUAUUUGCAAUAUGUGUCGAUGAAAUGCCUAUUGAUGGUGUUGCUGUAGGCACGAUUCAUGAAGACAUGAUUGAUAUGGCUUUUCAAACUGUAAGUGGAGUUUACGAGAGUGGUUGGUCUGAAAAAGGAGGCGGAUGAUUUCUAUAACUAGAACAUGGUCAAGAUAUGGUACUGUGAUGGUGCAUCUUUACUGGGCACCCUGAAAGCGGGCGAAAAGUACUUUCUUUUUCUUUUUGUAAACUAUGGAUUUUCUUUCAAGUAUGGCAGUUUAGCAUUUGUAGGGUAUAUGGGUUGGAUCGGCUCCCUUAGCUGAUGGGUUUCCUUCUCUAUUUGCACAAUAAUAGCAAACAUGGAUGGCAAACAUAUAUGUUUUUCCUCAUAAGAGCUCACUACGCCAAUAAUAACAAACAUGGAUGGCUUUUGGCUGGUUGGAUGAAAGUCGAGAAUGUAACCGAAGCCAUUUCUAUACUGAAACCAAAUGGAGAUGAUGUCAGCAGUGGUAUAUGUGCUUCGUUGCGCUAGACUUUGACUCAGUUUCGUCUUGCAAAUGGUUAUGCUGCUCUCAGAGAGAGACGCUCUAAGCUCUGCAAGUGUUGGAUUACAAAGGGGUCCAAAUAAUAGUACGGGUCAAAACGGGUAUGCUAGAAUAAGAUUGCAGUUCGAAAAUUUAUUUGCUUUGUUUGGAAAGCGGUCAACGACAACACUCGGACGACUAUGGCCCUUGCGGCGAAGGGUGACGCCUAUGUAGAUGGGAAAUUUUUUAUGUGUGGAUAUAAGGGAGGAGACUGCAGAUCAUUUACUUGCAAAUUAUAUAAGUACUAGAGCGAUAUGGUGGCAUAUGUGUUUGGACUAAAGUCCCAAUGCCUGGCUGUUUUGAUUUUGUGAACUUUAUGCUAGAGAAUGCUCUUAAAGUUUACGAACCAGCAAAGGAGAAACCUAUUAUCUAUGUAGCCUUCUUGAUGACCAUUUGGAAGAUGUGGAUGCAUCUAAAUGACAAGGUUUUUAGAAGAAAAGCCUGUUCUAAUGCAAAAGUUUUGGAGGAGAUAAAGCUAGGGAUGCACUAAUGGUUGGUAAGACGACACAAAUUUGCGGUUCUGUCCUUGGAGCGCUGGAACAAUGUUGAUGUUGGUUUAUAACACUACAUUGGAUUUUAGCUUUGUUUUUUGUUAUGUUUGUGUAUUUUUGUGUUUUUUAUUGGGGCUGUAUCCUCUGUCUUAGCUUCUGGCUAAGAUUGAGUUUGUGAGGUUUUGUAAUAAAUUGAUCUCCUUUGCUUGAUCACAAAAAAGAUAUGUUAUUAAAUAUUAUGUUUGUUACUAUUAAUUAAUUAA
This is a long non-coding RNA of Helianthus annuus (common sunflower), 1386 nucleotides long. RefSeq lists it as uncharacterized. The record is from RefSeq and is a predicted model, not a curated record. The transcript has 3 exons. NCBI's taxonomy places the organism in Eukaryota, Viridiplantae, Streptophyta, Magnoliopsida, Asterales, Asteraceae.